GCUGGGUUCGCAUAGCGGCAAUUGCUCGUGGCUGUAGACCACGCGCCCUUACGGGCUACGGGGGUUCGAGUCCCUCACCCAGCA
RNAcentral lists this transfer RNA (84 nucleotides) under Candidatus Microgenomates bacterium. RNAcentral's name for it is "tRNA-Tyr". It matches the Rfam family "tRNA". From Rfam's summary of the family: Transfer RNA (tRNA) molecules are approximately 80 nucleotides in length. Their secondary structure includes four short double-helical elements and three loops (D, anti-codon, and T loops). Further hydrogen bonds mediate the characteristic L-shaped molecular structure. tRNAs have two regions of fundamental functional importance: the anti-codon, which is responsible for specific mRNA codon recognition, and the 3' end, to which the tRNAs corresponding amino acid is attached (by aminoacyl-tRNA synthetases). tRNAs cope with the degeneracy of the genetic code in two manners: having more than one tRNA (with a specific anti-codon) for a particular amino acid; and 'wobble' base-pairing, i.e. permitting non-standard base-pairing at the 3rd anti-codon position. The record is from RNAcentral. Lineage: Bacteria; Candidatus Microgenomatota.